ACGCUCGACACCUACGGGAGGCAGCAGUGGGGAAUAUUGCACAAUGGGGGAAACCCUGAUGCAGCGACGCCGCGUGAGCGAAGAAGUAUUUCGGUAUGUAAAGCUCUAUCAGCAGGGAANAAACUGACGGUACCUGACUAAGAAGCACCGGCUAAAUACGUGCCAGCAGCCACGGUAAUCUGAGCGGGCUGGCAAGGC
Molecule: ribosomal RNA, 198 nt
Filed under: uncultured bacterium
Lineage: Bacteria
Description: partial 16S ribosomal RNA
Rfam family: Bacterial small subunit ribosomal RNA
Source: RNAcentral